AUUCUAGGAUGAGGGCCUUUUUGUAAUAACUCCUUAAAUCAUUCUCAUGCCUCAUAUAAGGACUCAUCACCGGAUUGCUAAAAUGUGAAAAUUUCAUUUUUGAGCUU
Gossypium hirsutum (cotton) is the source of this 107-nucleotide non-coding RNA. NCBI's taxonomy places the organism in Eukaryota, Viridiplantae, Streptophyta, Magnoliopsida, Malvales, Malvaceae. The record is from Rfam.